AGGACGAACGCUGGCGGCGUGCCUAACACAUGCAAGUCGAACGGAGUCAGAAAGCUUGCUUUUGACUUAGUGGCGGACGGGUGAGUAACGCGUGAGUAACCUGCCUCUGAGAGGGGAAUAACGUUCUGAAAAGAACGCUAAUACCGCAUAACGUAUCGAAGCCGCACGACUUUGAUACCAAAGAUUUUUAUCGCUCGGAGAUGGACUCGCGUCCGAUUAGUUAGUUGGUGAGGUAACGGCUCACCAAGACCGCGAUCGGUAGCCGGACUGAGAGGUUGAUCGGCCACAUUGGGACUGAGACACGGCCCAGACUCCUACGGGAGGCAGCAGUGGGGGAUAUUGCGCAAUGGGGGCAACCCCGAACCGCAGCAACGCCGCGUGAAGGAUGAAGGUUUUCGGAUUGUAAACUUCUUUUAUCAGGGACGAAGCUUGACGGUACCUGAUGAAUAAGCUCCGGCUAACUACGUGCCAGCCGCGGC
RNAcentral lists this ribosomal RNA (479 nucleotides) under uncultured bacterium. Its description in RNAcentral is "bacterial SSU rRNA". It matches the Rfam family "Bacterial small subunit ribosomal RNA", at positions 26 to 518 of the family's 1533-position model. The record is from RNAcentral.